Molecule: ribosomal RNA, 427 nt
Filed under: uncultured Psychrosphaera sp.
Lineage: Bacteria; Pseudomonadati; Pseudomonadota; Gammaproteobacteria; Alteromonadales; Pseudoalteromonadaceae
Description: bacterial SSU rRNA
Rfam family: Bacterial small subunit ribosomal RNA
Source: RNAcentral
AGUGGGGAAUAUUGGACAAUGGGCGCAAGCCUGAUCCAGCCAUGCCGCGUGUGUGAAGAAGGCCUUCGGGUUGUAAAGCACUUUCAGCGAGGAGGAAAGCAGCUAGCUUAAUACGUUAGUUGUGUGACGUUACUCGCAGAAGAAGCACCGGCUAACUCCGUGCCAGCAGCCGCGGUAAUACGGAGGGUGCGAGCGUUAAUCGGAAUUACUGGGCGUAAAGGGCACGCAGGCGGUUGUUUAAGUCAGAUGUGAAAGCCCCGGGCUCAACCUGGGAACUGCAUUUGAAACUGAACAACUAGAGUACGAGAGAGGUGGGUAGAAUUUCAGGUGUAGCGGUGAAAUGCGUAGAGAUCUGAAGGAAUACCAAUGGCGAAGGCAGCCCACUGGCUCGAUACUGACGCUCAUGUGCGAAAGCGUGGGGAGCAAA